Long non-coding RNA from Peromyscus eremicus (cactus mouse), 403 nucleotides. RefSeq lists it as uncharacterized. NCBI's taxonomy places the organism in Eukaryota, Metazoa, Chordata, Mammalia, Rodentia, Cricetidae. The transcript has 4 exons. The record is from RefSeq and is a predicted model, not a curated record.
CGUGCGCAGUAGGAGGCGGGGCGUGUGGGCGGAGCCAUACCGCAGAGGCUCUGUCGGGAGCCAGGCAGAGUCCCUUCAGAAAAACAAGGUCCUUGUUUUCAAAAAUAACUGAGUCAAGAAAAGGAGAAAUCAGUUGCCUGUCUGAAGCCUAUCAACAAUCCAAACCCAGAGUUCUGCCAUGAAAGGAACAGCAACCAGCCAGCAUCUAAGGAUCGGGUCUUAGGAUUGGAGCUCAUGCCAAUAAGUACCACCGACAAUAAACAAGAAUGUGAUGUAGCCCUUGCUCACUGUGAGCUUUAUAGUCAGUCUACUGCCAGAGCCGUCCUUGAUUGUGAAAGAGGACACUGUCAUCAAGUACACCAUGGCCACACAGUAAGGAGGCAAUGUCACAGCAAACAGGAAG